GUUGAAAUAGCUCAGUUGGGAGAGCGUCAGACUGAAGAUCUGAAGGUCCCUGGUUUAAUCC
This 61-nucleotide transfer RNA is filed under the name Nematostella vectensis (starlet sea anemone). It matches the Rfam family "tRNA", at positions 1 to 59 of the family's 71-position model. From Rfam's summary of the family: Transfer RNA (tRNA) molecules are approximately 80 nucleotides in length. Lineage: Eukaryota; Metazoa; Cnidaria; Anthozoa; Actiniaria; Edwardsiidae. The record is from Rfam by way of RNAcentral.